RNAcentral lists this ribosomal RNA (253 nucleotides) under uncultured bacterium. Its description in RNAcentral is "partial 16S ribosomal RNA". It matches the Rfam family "Bacterial small subunit ribosomal RNA", at positions 524 to 776 of the family's 1533-position model. The record is from RNAcentral.
UACGUAGGUGACAAGCGUUAUCCGGAAUUAUUGGGCGUAAAGAGCUCGUAGGCGGUUUGUCGCGUCUGCCGUGAAAGUCCGGGGCUCAACUCCGGAUCUGCGGUGGGUACGGGCAGACUAGAGUGAUGUAGGGGAGACUGGAAUUCCUGGUGUAGCGGUGAAAUGCGCAGAUAUCGUCAAGAACACCAAUAGUGAAGACAGCUUACUGGGCUUAAACUGACGCUGAGGCACGAAAGUGUGGGGAUCAAACAGG